Molecule: ribosomal RNA, 701 nt
Filed under: uncultured bacterium
Lineage: Bacteria
Description: bacterial SSU rRNA
Rfam family: Bacterial small subunit ribosomal RNA
Source: RNAcentral
CUCCGGGAAACUGGAGCUAAUACCGUAUGUGCCCUUCGGGGGAAAGAUUUAUCGGCAAAGGAUUGGCCCGCGUUGGAUUAGCUAGUUGGUGGGGUAAAGGCCUACCAAGGCGACGAUCCAUAGCUGGUCUGAGAGGAUGAUCAGCCACAUUGGGACUGAGACACGGCCCAAACUCCUACGGGAGGGAGCAGUGGGGAAUAUUGGACAAUGGGCGCAAGCCUGAUCCAGCCAUGCCGCGUGUGUGAUGAAGGCCUUAAGGUUGUAAAGCACUUUCACCGAUGAAGAUAAUGACGGUAGUCGGAGAAGAAGCCCCGGCUAACUUCGUGCCAGCAGCCGCGGUAAUACGAAGGGGGCUAGCGUUGUUCAGAAUUACUGGGCGUAAAGCGCACGUACGCGGAUAUUUAAGUCAGGGGUGAAAUCCCACAGCUCAACUCUGGAACUGCCUUUGAUACUGGGUAUCUUGAGUAUGGAAGAGGUAAGUGGAAUUGCGAGUGUAGAGGUGAAAUUCGUAGAUAUUCGCAGGAACACCAGUGGCGAAGGCGGCUUACUGGUCCAUUACUGACGCUGAGGUGCGAAAGCAUGAGGAGCAAACACGAUUAGAUACCCUGGUAGUCCACGCCAUAACGAUGAAUGUUAGCCGUCGGCAAGUUUACUUGUCAUUGGCGCAGCUAACGCAUUAAACAUUCCGUCUGGGGAGUACG